Molecule: ribosomal RNA, 497 nt
Filed under: uncultured bacterium
Lineage: Bacteria
Description: partial 16S ribosomal RNA
Rfam family: Bacterial small subunit ribosomal RNA
Source: RNAcentral
GACGAACGCUGGCGGCGUGCCUAAUACAUGCAAGUUGAGCGCUGAAGGUUGGUACUUGUACCAACUGGAUGAGCAGCGAACGGGUGAGUAACGCGUGGGGAAUCUGCCUUUGAGCGGGGGACAACAUUUGGAAACGAAUGCUAAUACCGCAUAAAAACUUUAAACACAAGUUUUAAGUUUGAAAGAUGCAAUUGCAUCACUCAAAGAUGAUCCCGCGUUGUAUUAGCUAGUUGGUGAGGUAAAGGCUCACCAAGGCGAUGAUACAUAGCCGACCUGAGAGGGUGAGCGGCCACAUUGGGACGGAGACACGGCCCAAACUCCUACGGGAGGCAGCAGUAGGGAAUCUUCGGCAAUGGACGAAAGUCUGACCGAGCAACGCCGCGUGAGUGAAGAAGGUUUUCGGAUCGUAAAACUCUGUUGGUAGAGAAGAACGUUGGUGAGAGUGGAAAGCUCAUCAAGUGACGGUAACUACCCAGAAAGGGACGGCUAACUACGUG